Molecule: non-coding RNA, 45 nt
Filed under: Schistosoma curassoni
Lineage: Eukaryota; Metazoa; Platyhelminthes; Trematoda; Strigeidida; Schistosomatidae
Source: RNAcentral
AUCCAACUGACGAGUCCCAACUAAGACAAAACACGCGUACAGGAU